AUUGAACGCUGGCGGCAUGCCUUACACAUGCAAGUCGAACGGUAACGCGGGGCAACCUGGCGACGAGUGGCGAACGGGUGAGUAACGCAUCGGAACGUGCCCAGUAGUGUGGGAUAGCCCGGCGAAAGCCGGAUUAAUACCGCACACGACCUACGGGGUGAAAGCGGGGGACCGUAAGGCCUCGCGCCAUUGGAGCGGCCGAUGUCAGAUUAGGUAGUUGGUGGGGUAAAAGCCCCACCAAGCCGACGAUCUGUAGCUGGUCUGAGAGGACGACCAGCCACACUGGGACUGAGACACGGCCCAGACUCCUACGGGAGGCAGCAGUGGGGAAUUUUGGACAAUGGGCGCAAGCCUGAUCCAGCCAUGCCGCGUGCGGGAAGAAGGCCU
This 387-nucleotide ribosomal RNA is filed under the name uncultured bacterium. Its description in RNAcentral is "bacterial SSU rRNA". It matches the Rfam family "Bacterial small subunit ribosomal RNA", at positions 29 to 417 of the family's 1533-position model. The record is from RNAcentral.